RNA transcript from Megachile rotundata (alfalfa leafcutting bee), 1607 nucleotides. It is a transcript of the gene named Pdrg1 prefoldin-like subunit, with no coding region annotated. The record is from RefSeq and is a predicted model, not a curated record. NCBI's taxonomy places the organism in Eukaryota, Metazoa, Arthropoda, Insecta, Hymenoptera, Megachilidae.
GUAAAAUUGACGGACGCAGUGUUAAUCGUAAUAAUUUACGUAUUUAGUUUUCAAACUUGAUACAUAUAUAGUGGUUAAAAGAAUUGAUAUGUUAAAGAGAAAAAAAGAAUGAACCUGUAAACUACAGAAGAAGCGUAUAAAUUAUCCGAAUAAAAAACACUUGUAAUUGAAAAGAAACAUUAUUAUAUAUAUAUAUAUCUAUUCGUGAAUAUUUAUAUUUAUAUUAGUCGAAAAAGAUGUUAAAGGAAAGUAAUUUUUUUACGCACAAUAUUGGUAUAGCAUGGAAAACGUUUGUUCGAGAAUCUUGCGAUGUUUCUCCGAUACCUUCGGAAAAGAAAGAACAUCAUCUGAAUUUCCAGGAAAAUCAAGCAAAAGAAGCUUACGAAGAAAUCAUUAAUGAAAGAAACGAUGUAAAUUCAAAGUUGCAACACAAUCAUUGUAAACAGAAAUCAUAUGUUACUAAGAGUACUACAAAGUCGCUUUCGAUAAAUGAUAGCAAUGAAAAAGUUAGACAUAACCAGAGGUCAGAUGAAAAGGUAACAAUUAAUAGUAUAUUGAAAGCGGUGGAACAAAAAGACUUUGAAUUUUUGUUAAAACAUGUAACGCGUGACAAUGUAAAUCUGAUGGAUGAUUUUGGUUGGACUCCUCUUAUGUCGGCUGCAUAUUGUGGCUACUUAGAUAUUGUAGAAUUUUUAUUAAGCCUUGGUGCCAACAGAAAAGCUAAAGAAAAAUCUGGUCUUACCGCGGCACAAUUAGCAUUGAAAAAAAAUUAUUUAAAUAUAGUUGCUCUACUCAAGAAGAGAACGGACUCUGUGUGUAACAAAACAAUAGAAGCAGAUACGUGUUCGUCACAAAUAAAUAUUGAUACUACCAUGCAAAAAAAGACAGAGUUAAUUGAACCUUUGAAGGAUAACAAUGGAACAUGGAACCAAAAUAUUGAUAAUGAACAAGACUGCUCAAGCGAUAGUACAGGGUUUUAUUGCGAAAUUUGUGAAGUUCACUUUUAUAAAACAACUUGGAAGAAACAUGAAACAUCUGUGCUUCAUAUAUUUAAUUCUAAACCAAAACUACCAAGCACCAUGUAUGGAAUAUCAAAGCAAAAUAAAGGUUAUCAAAUCCUGUUGAAUAAUGGAUGGGACGAAGAAUAUGGCCUUGGACCUUCAGGAAAAGGAAUAAAAUACCCUAUAAAAACCUGUCUAAAAACUGAUAGAAAAGGAUUAGGUCAAUUGGAUGAGAAAGAAUAUAGAGUGACGCAUUUCAAGCCCGGAGAUACAGCAGCGAUUGGCAGUCCUAAAAUAUUUAAGCAAAAGUGUUUAAAGAAAAAAGAUAGGGAAAAAUUAUUAAGCAGGGAAGCUAGAAAAGAGAGAGCACUGCGUGUUGCUCUGUCUUAAAGUAGCAUUAAACAAUUUGAAAAAUUAAAAUUUAACAUUUUUUCUAAGACUGAUUAUAAUGUAAUUGUUCAUUCGCUAUUUAAAUGUAUGAAAUUUGAUCAAGAGAAAGCUUUAAAACACAUACAACAAGUCGAAGAAAAGGCAGGGGAGAUUCUUACAGACCGUCAAGAAAUAAUUGCUUUGGACAAAAGAAGAAACGAGGAUAGAGUUGGAAUG